RNAcentral lists this ribosomal RNA (407 nucleotides) under uncultured bacterium. RNAcentral describes it as "bacterial SSU rRNA". It matches the Rfam family "Bacterial small subunit ribosomal RNA", at positions 355 to 776 of the family's 1533-position model. The record is from RNAcentral.
UGGGGAAUAUUGGGCAAUGGGCGCAAGCCUGACCCAGCAACGCCGCGUGAAGGAAGAAGGCUUUCGGGUUGUAAACUUCUUUUGGCAGGGACGAAGGACGUGACGGUACCUGCAGAAUAAGCUCCGGCUAACUACGUGCCAGCAGCCGCGGUAAUACGUAGGGAGCAAGCGUUAUCCGGAUUUACUGGGUGUAAAGGGCGCGUAGGCGGGGAUGCAAGUCAGAUGUGAAAUCCCGAGGCUCAACCUCGGAACUGCAUUUGAAACUGUAUUUCUUGAGUGAUGGAGAGGCAGGCGGAAUUCCUAGUGUAGCGGUGAAAUGCGUAGAUAUUAGGAGGAACACCAGUGGCGAAGGCGGCCUGCUGGACAUUAACUGACGCUGAGGCGCGAAAGCGUGGGGAGCAAACAGG